Molecule: long non-coding RNA, 592 nt
Organism: Marmota monax (woodchuck)
Lineage: Eukaryota; Metazoa; Chordata; Mammalia; Rodentia; Sciuridae
Exons: 2
Source: RefSeq, a predicted model, not a curated record
GGGCAGUACGAGCCGGCCCCUCCCUGCCUGAGCGUCUCGGGCCCCAGAGAGCCCCCCAGAUGGGAGCCAGAGGUGCCCUGGCCGGAUCCGGGACACACCCAUGGGUAGGGAGGCCGUGGGGCACCGGCCUAUGGCCAGCACCUGGCGUGGCUCCAGCUGUCCAGCAGGUCCUCGCUCCGCCUCCCAGCUUCCCGGCCCCAGAGGCCCUGCGUCUGGGGUCAUCCUGCCUCUGAGCCUUGCUUUCCCGUCUGGACAGGGGGAGUAGGGCGUCCCCGGUUGCCUCAUCCUAGCCUGAAAUUAACGGUCACCAGUGAAGCUCGGCCGGCUGUGUUCGGUGUCAUGUGUGCCCACGUCCCACAGGUUCCCUGCCCUGUGCUCUGCCCUGUGAGCGCUGGCUGCCCGAGGUCACGUCCAGGACUCCUGUUCAGCCCCAGCAGGCCACAGCCCCUCUGCGUCUCCCUUCUCUCCCUGUGACGUUCUUUGUCCCCUCUCAUGGAGGUUGGCUUGAUUUCAGGGCAGACGGCCUCUCCUCAGAGCUCUGGCAAUGGUGCAGCCAUUUUUUCAAGACAAAUAUAAUGGAAAUUGCUUUGGA